GAUGAACGCUGGCGGCGCGCCUAACACAUGCAAGUCGAACGAGUGGCGAACGGGUGAGUAACACGUGACCAACCCGCCCCCCCCACCGGGACAACCUCGGGAAACCGAGGCUAAUACCGGAUAGGAGGGGACGGGGUGGCGGCCCAUCAGGUAGACGGCGGGGGGAAGGCCCGCCGUGCGGACGACGGGGAGCCGGGCUGAGAGGCCGAUCGGCCACAUGGGGAGUGGGGCACGGCCCGGACUCCUCCGGGAGGGAGCAGUGGGGGAUAAUGCGCAGUGGGGGAAACCCUGACGCAGCGACGCCGCGUGCGGGAAGGAGGCCUUCGGGUCGUAACCCGCUUUCAGCAGGGAAGCGGUACCUGCAGAAGAAGCCCCGGCUAACUACGUGCCAGCAGCCGCGGUAAUUC
RNAcentral lists this ribosomal RNA (407 nucleotides) under uncultured bacterium. Its description in RNAcentral is "partial 16S ribosomal RNA". It matches the Rfam family "Bacterial small subunit ribosomal RNA", at positions 28 to 526 of the family's 1533-position model. The record is from RNAcentral.